CUACACUCUCCUCCAGCCUCCCCUGACCACACUCGCAGAUCCAACUCCUCUGGGCCAGCUCACCCAGGACAGGUAGACAAACAGCUGUCCAGCCAAAGAGUCACAACUGGUGACUGCACAUGGACACACCAUCACCAUCCAGAGUCCAGAGUUUACAUUAGGGCUGAUUCUUGCUGUCAUGUGUUCCAUGGGUUUAGAUGUACAUAUGAUGACACACAUCCAUCAUUAGAGGAUCACAGAGCAUCUUCGCAGCCCUAAAAAUCUAGGCUCUAUGUAUUCCUCUCUCCAUUCCCCCACCAACACUUGAUCUCUUAGUGUCCACAGUUUUGCCUCCUCCAGACCGUCAUACAGUUGGAAUUACAUAGUUUGUAGCUUUUUUAGAUUGUCUUUCACUUAUUAAGAUUCAUUUUAGUUUCCUCCACAUUGUUUCAUGGAUUGAUAAUCCAUUUCCUUUUGCAUGAAUAAUAUUCCAUUGUCUGAAGGCACCAGAGUUUAUCCAUUUACCUGCUGAAGGACAUUUUGACGGAUUCCAAGUUUUGGCAAUUAUGAAUUAAACUGCUAUAAAACUCCACGUGCAGGUUUUUAUGUGGACGUAAGUUUUUUACUCCUUUCAGGAGAUACCAAGGGGCAUGACUGCCGGAUCACAUGGUAAAGUGUGUUUAGUUUUGUAGGACACUGCCAAACCAUCUUCCCAAGUGGUCAUUUCUGUAUCCCCACCAGUGAUGAAUGAGCUCCUGUUGUUCCAUUUUAUCAGCAUUUGAUGCUCUCAGUGUCCCAGAUGUUGGUCUAAGAAGUGUGCAGUGCUUCUCGUUGUUUUAACUUGUAGUUUCUUGAUGGCAUACGAUUGAAGGCAUCUCUUCAUAUGCUUCUUUACCAUCUGUAUACUUUCUUUAGUGAGGUGUCUGUAAGGUCUUUGGCCCCAUUUUUUUCAGUAUAAAUUCAAAAGGUUUCCUGUCCCAAAUGCCGCAGAAAAAUGGAUCAAAAUAUGUGGACAAGUUUUAAGAAGAAAGAAUUCUAUAUGUUGACAUUGAUGUCUAUUUAACUGAUCAAAAACAAAGUCCUAUUACUUUGUCUUGGUGGAAUUUCAAUAAUAACAAAUCAAUCCCGGAAUUUUCUUUCUAAAAAUCACUUAAAUCUAAGCAUAUUGUAAUCUCACUUCCAAGUUUUAUGGUUCAUUUUUAAUCAGGUUUUUAUUUUCUAAUGGAGAUUUAAUUGUUCUCUUUACUAGUCCUUUAUCAGAUGAUUGUUUUCCAAAGACUUGUCCUAGUCUAUGACGGGUCUUUUACUCUUGAGUAUCACAGAGCAGAAGUUUUUAAUUUUAGUGAAUUCCAAUUUAUCAA
Molecule: long non-coding RNA, 1340 nt
Organism: Bos taurus (domestic cattle)
Lineage: Eukaryota; Metazoa; Chordata; Mammalia; Artiodactyla; Bovidae
Source: Ensembl